Notothenia coriiceps (black rockcod) is the source of this 244-nucleotide long non-coding RNA. RefSeq lists it as uncharacterized. The transcript has 3 exons. The record is from RefSeq and is a predicted model, not a curated record. Lineage: Eukaryota; Metazoa; Chordata; Actinopteri; Perciformes; Nototheniidae.
GAUCAUCGACAACACGGGAAAGGAGAACGGGAUCAACAUCGUGAUGCCAGAGAGGACCUUCCAGCUGAUCGCAGAAACUCCAGAGGACGCCAGCCAGUGGUUCAGCGUGCUGAGUCAGGUGCACGGCUCCACAGAGCAGGAGAUCAGAGAGAUGCACGACGAGCAGGCCAACCCCCAGAACGCUGUGGGCACGCUGGACGUCGGGAUGAUCGACUCGGUGUGUGCGUCAGAUAAUCCAGAGAGG